Molecule: ribosomal RNA, 1304 nt
Filed under: Staphylococcus aureus
Lineage: Bacteria; Bacillati; Bacillota; Bacilli; Caryophanales; Staphylococcaceae
Description: bacterial SSU rRNA
Source: RNAcentral
GAUGAACGCUGGCGGCGUACUGGGAUAACUUCGGGAAACCGGAGCUAAUACCGGAUAAUAUUUUGAACCGCAUGGUUCAAAAGUGAAAGACGGUCUUGCUGUCACUUAUAGAUGGAUCCGCGCUGCAUUAGCUAGUUGGUAAGGUAACGGCUUACCAAGGCAACGAUGCAGRUUCAAAAGUGAAAGUGAUCGGCCACACUGGAACUGAGACACGGUCCAGACUCCUACGGGAGGCAGCAGUAGGGAAUCUUCCGCAAUGGGCGAAAGCCUGACGGAGCAACGCCGCGUGAGUGAUGAAGGUCUUCGGAUCGUAAAACUCUGUUAUUAGGGAAGAACAUAUGUGUAAGUAACUGUGCACAUCUUGAACAUAUGUGUAAGUAACAAAGCCACGGCUAACUACGUGCCAGCAGCCGCGGUAAUACGUAGGUGGCAAGCGUUAUCCGGAAUUAUUGGGCGUAAAGCGCGCGUAGGCGGUUUUUUAAGUCUGAUGUGAAAGCCCACGGCUCAACCCGUGGAGGGUCAUUGGAAAACUGGAAAAACUUGAGUGCAGAAGAGGAAAAGUGGAAUUUCCAUGUGUAGCGGUGAAAAUGCGCAGAGAUAUGGAGGAACAUAUCCGGAAUUAUUGGGCGACUUUCUGGUCUGUAACUGACGCUGAUGUGCGAAAAGCGUGGGGAUCAAACAGGAUUAGAUACCCUGGUAGUCCACGCCGUAAACGAUGAGUGCUAAGUGUUAGGGGGUUUCCGCCCCUUAGUGCUGCAGCUAACGCAUUAAGCACUCCGCCUGGGGAGUACGACCGCAAGGUUGAAACUCAAAGGAAUUGACGGGGACCCGCACAAGCGGUGGAGCAUGUGUGGCGAAGGCGACUUUCUGGUCUGUAACUGACAAUCUUGACAUCCUUUGACAACUCUAGAGAUAGAGCUUUCCCCUUCGGGGGACAAAGUGACAGGUGGUGCAUGGUUGUCGUCAGCUCGUGUCGUGAGAUGUUGGGUUAAGUCCCGCAACGAGCGCAACCCUUAAGCUUAGUUGCCAUCAUUAAGUUGGGCACUCUAAGUUGACUGCCGGUGACAAACCGGAGGAAGGUGGGGAUGACGUCAAAUCAUCAUGCCCCUUAUGAUUUGGGCUACACACGUGCUACAAUGGACAAUACAAAGGGCAGCAAAGGGCAGCGAAACCGCGAGGUCAAAAGUUGUUCUCAGUUCGGAUUGUAGUCUGCAACUCGACUACAUGAAGCUGGAAUCGCUAGUAAUCGUAGAUCAGCAUGCUACGGUGAAUACGUUCGUCGAAGGUGGGACAAAUGAUACACC